GAAAUGCGAUAAGUAAUGUGAAUUGCAGAAUUCAGUGAAUCAUCGAAUCUUUGAACGCACAUUGCGCCCGCCAGUAUUCUGGCGGGCAUGCCUGUUCGAGCGUCAUUACAACCCUCAGGCCCCCGGGCCUGGCGUUGGGGAUCGGCGGAAGCCCCCUGCGGGCACAACGCCGUCCCCCAAAUACAGUGGCGGUCCCGUCGCAGCUUCCAUUGCGUAGUAGCUAACACCUCGCAACUGGAGAGCGGCGCGGCCACGCCGUAAAACACCCAACUUCUGAAUGUUGACCUCGAAUCAGGUAGGAAUACCCGCUGAACUUAAGC
This 320-nucleotide unclassified non-coding RNA is filed under the name plant metagenome. RNAcentral's name for it is "partial contains 5.8S ribosomal RNA, internal transcribed spacer 2, and large subunit ribosomal RNA". The stretch from base 1 to 105 matches the Rfam family "5.8S ribosomal RNA", at positions 50 to 154 of the family's 154-position model. The record is from RNAcentral.